GCCCGCCGAAGACACCCCCGAACUCUGCCUGAAGAUUGUCGUCUGAGUGAAAAUAUAAAUUAUUUAAAACUUUCAACAACGGAUCUCUUGGUUCCGGCAUCGAUGAAGAACGCAGCGAAAUGCGAUACGUAAUGUGAAUUGCAAAUUCAGUGAAUCAUCGAGUCUUUGAACGCACAUUGCGCCCCCUGGUAUUCCGGGGGGCAUGCCUGUCCGAGCGUCAUUGCUGCCCUCAAGCCCGGCUUGUGUGUUGGGCCCCGUCCUCCGAUUCCGGGGGACGGGCCCGAAAGGCAGCGGCGGCACCGCGUCCGGUCCUCGAGCGUAUGGGGCUUUGUCACCCGCUCUGUAGGCCCGGCCGGCGCUUGCCGAUCAACCCAAAUUUUUAUCCAGGUUGACCUCGGAUCAGGUAGGGAUACCCGCUGAACUUAAG
This 427-nucleotide ribosomal RNA is filed under the name Penicillium expansum. RNAcentral's name for it is "eukaryotic LSU rRNA". The stretch from base 68 to 220 matches the Rfam family "5.8S ribosomal RNA". The record is from RNAcentral. Lineage: Eukaryota; Fungi; Ascomycota; Eurotiomycetes; Eurotiales; Aspergillaceae.